This 29-nucleotide non-coding RNA is filed under the name Cricetulus griseus (Chinese hamster). Lineage: Eukaryota; Metazoa; Chordata; Mammalia; Rodentia; Cricetidae. The record is from RNAcentral.
CAGCUUGAGGAGAUCGCAGAUAAGUUUUU